CAGCAGCCACGGUAAUACGAAGGGGGCUAGCGUUGCUCGGAAUGACUGGGCGUAAAGGGCGCGUAGGCGGGUCUUUAAGUCAGGGGUGAAAUCCCAAGGCUCAACCUAGGAAUUGCAUUUGAUACUGUUUGGCUUGAGUUCGGGAGAGGUGAGUGGAAUUCCCAGUGUAGAGGUGAAAUUCGUAGAUAUUGGGAAGAACACCAGUGGCGAAGGCGGCUCACUGGACCGACACUGACGCUGAGGCGCGAAAGCGUGGGGAGCAAGCAGGAUUAGAUACCCCCGUAGUCCCUGUCUCUUAUAC
This 301-nucleotide ribosomal RNA is filed under the name uncultured bacterium. RNAcentral's name for it is "partial 16S ribosomal RNA". It matches the Rfam family "Bacterial small subunit ribosomal RNA", at positions 509 to 807 of the family's 1533-position model. The record is from RNAcentral.